CUUGCUGGGCGGAUCAGUGGCGAACGGGUGAGUAACACGUGAGUAACCUGCCCCAGACUCCGGGAUAAGCCUUGGAAACGAGGUCUAAUACUGGAUACGAGAUGCCCCUGCAUGGGGAGUGUCUGGAAAGAUUUAUCGGUCUGGGAUGGACUCGCGGCCUAUCAGCUUGUUGGUGGGGUAAUGGCCUACCAAGGCGACGACGGGUAGCCGGCCUGAGAGGGCGACCGGCCACACUGGGACUGAGACACGGCCCAGACUAAUACGGGAGGCAGCAGUGGGGAAUAUUGCACAAUGGGCGAAAGCCUGAUGCAGCGACGCCGCGUGAGGGAUGAAGGCCUUCGGGUUGUAAACCUCUUUCAGCAGGGAAGAAGCGCAAGUGACGGUACCUGCAGAAGAAGCGCCGGCUAACUACGUGCCAGCAGCCGCGGUAAUACGUAGGGCGCAAGCGUUGUCCGGAAUUAUUGGGCGUAAAGAGCUCGUAGGCGGUUUGUCGCGUCUGGUGUGAAAACUCAAGGCUCAACCUUGAGCUUGCAUCGGGUACGGGCAGACUAGAGUGCGGUAGGGGUGACUGGAAUUCCUGGUGUAGCGGUGGAAUGCGCAGAUAUCAGGAGGAACACCGAUGGCGAAGGCAGGUCACUGGGCCGCAACUGACGCUGAGGAGCGAAAGCAUGGGGAGCGAACAGGAUUAGAUACCCUGGUAGUCCAUGCCGUAAACGUUGGGCACUAGGUGUGGGGCUCAUUCCACGAGUUCCGUGCCGCAGCAAACGCAUUAAGUGCCCCGCCUGGGGAGUACGGCCGCAAGGCUAAAACUCAAAGGAAUUGACGGGGGCCCGCACAAGCGGCGGAGCAUGCGGAUUAAUUCGAUGCAACGCGAAGAACCUUACCAAGGCUUGACAUACACCGGAAACUUCCAGAGAUGGUUGCCCCGCAAGGUCGGUGUACAGGUGGUGCAUGGUUGUCGUCAGCUCGUGUCGUGAGAUGUUGGGUUAAGUCCCGCAACGAGCGCAACCCUCGUCUUAUGUUGCCAGCACGUCAUGGUGGGGACUCAUAAGAGACUGCCGGGGUCAACUCGGAGGAAGGUGGGGAUGACGUCAAAUCAUCAUGCCCCUUAUGUCUUGGGCUUCACGCAUGCUACAAUGGCCGGUACAAAGGGCUGCGAUACCGCGAGGUGGAGCGAAUCCCAAAAAGCCGGUCUCAGUUCGGAUUGGGGUCUGCAACUCGACCCCAUGAAGUCGGAGUCGCUAGUAAUCGCAGAUCAGCAUAGAAGCGGUGAAUUCGUUCCCGGGCCUUGUACACAACGCCCCAAUAGAAGGAAAGUCGGUAACUAUCCGGAACCGGUGGACCUUUUCUUGU
This 1353-nucleotide ribosomal RNA is filed under the name Oerskovia sp. PJD12. Its description in RNAcentral is "bacterial SSU rRNA". It matches the Rfam family "Bacterial small subunit ribosomal RNA". The record is from RNAcentral. Lineage: Bacteria; Bacillati; Actinomycetota; Actinomycetes; Micrococcales; Cellulomonadaceae.